GUAGUGACAGCCCACAACACUGACAGAGGUCAGGGGUAAGGAGAAGAGCUAUGGGUGGCAGGAUCUCAUGACAUAUGUCCUUCCCUUUCUCAUGAGGAUUGUGGCUUCGUGUGGACCAGCAGAGGAUGCUGAGGCUAGCCAGCUGUGCGUGGCUCCUCUCCCAGAAUGAUGUUCCUGUCCUAAGCACCGUGGUAACAGAGGAGAAAGAAGUCCAAAGGAGGCACAGCACAAAGAAGAAAACAUCUAGCCAUAAGAGAUCUCUUCCUGCUGAAAUUGAAAAUCUUCCACUAAAUGGAAUCAAUCACACGUUAUCAGCCAAAGAGAAAUCAAGAUCCAUUUGGAAAGGUCAGAUACGGCAGGACGUUUAAAAUGUUGAUGACACUACAUUAAACAACGGUUCUGUCUCCUGCCAUUGACCUCUGAGGAUCCCUCCAUUCUGGCUGCUUCUUACUUGAAUUGGGUUCAGUCCUGCAGAUUCCACCAGAAGCAUUCCUGCAUCAGGCACCAGCGGCCAGUCCUCCGGGGAAGCUGUGUGUGUGCCGAGCAUCUCCAGCCGCGGCUCCUACCGAGGACCCAGGACAGAGAUCCCAUCACAGACAACCGGGAGGGGGCUUGUGUUUAGUAGAACA
Aethalodelphis obliquidens (Pacific white-sided dolphin) is the source of this 629-nucleotide long non-coding RNA. RefSeq lists it as uncharacterized. The record is from RefSeq and is a predicted model, not a curated record. NCBI's taxonomy places the organism in Eukaryota, Metazoa, Chordata, Mammalia, Artiodactyla, Delphinidae. The transcript is spliced from 4 exons.